RNAcentral lists this long non-coding RNA (721 nucleotides) under Setaria italica (foxtail millet). RNAcentral's name for it is "long non-coding RNA (SITA_LNC005354)". Lineage: Eukaryota; Viridiplantae; Streptophyta; Magnoliopsida; Poales; Poaceae. The record is from RNAcentral.
UGUGGGAUGCUGAGCGUACGCUGAUUCACAGCCGAUCGUCGGAGUCGUGCUAGCCAUUCCGUCCGGCAGUUGACUUCUUGAAGAGACUGGACAGCCUCCUCCCUUUCAAGGCUACGCAUAGAGGAUCAUAGCAGGAUUCUGAGGAUUCCAUUUGGUUCUCCCCUUGUGUUGUUGCUCCAGACUUGUAGCCUGCAUUACCAGUGGUGGACAUUUUAAAUAUCAAGUGUUGUAUGCUGUAAAAGAUCCGGAGGAAACCUGAAGUUAAUCUUACAGUGACUUUUUAGAAACGAAUGUGAAAGUGACAUUGGUAUACCUAUUCGUGCAAAUGACAAAGCAAACGACAAAGAAAGAAAGAAUCUUUGUUCGUCACCACCAACCAAAAGGUGCUUAAAUGCUAAGAUGAAAAAAUCACAUCCCUGCCUAGUCUUAGGAUAAGAGCAAGCAUUGGCUCACGCGGAGGUUAAGAGUAAAUUAUCUUCAUGCGUAUAUUUUUUUUAUCAUUAACUUGAUAACUGGUAGAUGAAACCAGACCCAACGAUAGCGAUGCACCCAGAAGUUGAAUUCUAGUACACAUGAUGACGGGAACUUGCAGCUUGUCGAAGAUCGAGGUCGAUGCAGCCCAGCUUGCUAGAAGUAACUCGUCGAGAAACUACAUUACUCCUACUCCUAGAGCAAUGGCGUGAAGCCGAAAAGUAGAUGCGUAAAAGUAAAUAUGUUGUAU